CCUACGGGGGGCAGCAGUGGGGAAUAUUGGACAAUGGGGGCAACCCUGAUCCAGCCAUGCCGCGUGUGUGAAGAAGGCCCUCGGGUUGUAAAGCACUUUCAGUGAGGAAGAACGCCUGGUGGUUAAUACCCAUCAGGAAAGACAUCACUCACAGAAGAAGCACCGGCUAACUCCGUGCCAACAGCCGCGGUAAUACGGAGGGUGCGAGCGUUAAUCGGAAUUACUGGGCGUAAAGCGCGCGUAGGUGGCUUGAUAAGCCGGUUGUGAAAGCCCCGGGCUCAACCUGGGAACGGCAUCCGGAACUGUCAAGCUAGAGUGCAGGAGAGGAAGGUAGAAUUCCCGGUGUAGCGGUGAAAUGCGUAGAGAUCGGGAGGAAUACCAGUGGCGAAGGCGGCCUUCUGGACUGACACUGACACUGAGGUGCGAAAGCGUGGGUAGCAAACAGGAUUAGAUACCCUGGUAGUC
This 465-nucleotide ribosomal RNA is filed under the name Vreelandella stevensii. Its description in RNAcentral is "partial 16S ribosomal RNA". It matches the Rfam family "Bacterial small subunit ribosomal RNA", at positions 338 to 795 of the family's 1533-position model. The record is from RNAcentral. Lineage: Bacteria; Pseudomonadati; Pseudomonadota; Gammaproteobacteria; Oceanospirillales; Halomonadaceae.